AGAGUUUGAUCCUGGCUCAGGAUGAACGCUAGCGACAGGCCUAACACAUGCAAGUCGAGGGGCAGCAUUUCUAGCUUGCUAGAAGAUGGCGACCGGCGCACGGGUGAGUAACGCGUAUGCAACCUACCUUAUACUGGGGGAUAGCCCAGAGAAAUCUGGAUUAAUACCGCAUAAUAUGUUUGAAUCGCAUGGUUUGAAUAUUAAAACUCCGGUGGUAUAAGAUGGGCAUGCGUAGCAUUAGUUAGUUGGUGAGGUAACGGCUCACCAAGACAAUGAUGCUUAGGGGGUCUGAGAGGAUAGUCCCCCACACUGGUACUGAGACACGGACCAGACUCCUACGGGAGGCAGCAGUGAGGAAUAUUGGUCAAUGGACGCAAGUCUGAACCAGCCAUGGUCGCGUGCAGGAUGACGGCCCUAUGGGUUGUAAACUGCUUUUUUACAGGAAUAAUUGUCGCUACGUGUAGUGAUUUGAAUGUACUGUAUGAAUAAGGAUCGGCUAACUCCGUGCCAGCAGCCGCGGUAAUACGGAGGAUUCGAGCGUUAUCCGGAUUUAUUGGGUUUAAAGGGUCCGUAGGCGGUUCUUUAAGUCAGUGGUGAAAUCCCAGAGCUCAACUCUGGAACUGCCAUUGAAACUGAAGAACUUGAAUAUGGUUGAGGUAGGCGGAAUACGUUAUGUAGCGGUGAAAUGCAUAGAUAUAACGUAGAACACCAAUUGCGAAGGCAGCUUACUAAGCCAUUAUUGACGCUGAUGGACGAAAGCGUGGGGAGCGAACAGGAUUAGAUACCCUGGUAGUCCACGCCGUAAACGAUGAUUACUCGUUGUGCACAAUACAUCGUGCGUGACUGAGCGAAAGCAUUAAGUAAUCCACCUGGGGAGUACGUUCGCAAGAAUGAAACUCAAAGGAAUUGACGGGGGCCCGCACAAGCGGAGGAACAUGUGGUUUAAUUCGAUGAUACGCGAGGAACCUUACCUGGACUUAAAUGUAGAUUGACCCUCUUAGAAAUAGGAGUUCUCUUCGGAGCAAUUUACAAGGUGCUGCAUGGUUGUCGUCAGCUCGUGCCGUGAGGUGUCGGGUUAAGUCCCAUAACGAGCGCAACCCCUAUCGUUAGUUGCUAGCAGGUAAUGCUGAGGACUCUAGCGAGACUGCCACCGUAAGGUGAGAGGAAGGUGGGGAUGACGUCAAAUCAGCACGGCCCUUACGUCCAGGGCUACACACGUGUUACAAUGGCCAGUACAAAGGGCAGCUACCUGGUGACAGGAUGCUAAUCUCAAAAGCUGGUCUCAGUUCGGAUCGGAGUCUGCAACUCGACUCCGUGAAGUUGGAUUCGCUAGUAAUCGUAUAUCAGCAAUGAUACGGUGAAUACGUUCCCGGGCCUUGUACACACCGCCCGUCAAGCCAUGGAAGCCGAGGGUGCCUGAAGUACGUUACCGCAAGGAGCGUCCUAGGGUAAAAUUGGUAACUGGGGCUAAGUCGUAACAAGGUAACC
RNAcentral lists this ribosomal RNA (1488 nucleotides) under uncultured bacterium. Its description in RNAcentral is "bacterial SSU rRNA". It matches the Rfam family "Bacterial small subunit ribosomal RNA". The record is from RNAcentral.